Molecule: ribosomal RNA, 500 nt
Filed under: uncultured bacterium
Lineage: Bacteria
Description: partial 16S ribosomal RNA
Rfam family: Bacterial small subunit ribosomal RNA
Source: RNAcentral
GACGAACGCUGGCGGCGUGCUUAACACAUGCAAGUCGAACGGUUCUGCCCUGUUUUUUGCGGGGUGGGUCAGUGGCGAACGGGUGAGUAACACGUGAGUAACCUGCCCCUCACUUCUGGAUAACCGCUUGAAAGGGUGGCUAAUACGGGGUGUUCUGGCUGUGCCGCAUGGUGUGGCUGGGAAAGAUUCACUUUUGUGGUGUUUUGGUGGGGGAUGGGCUCGCGGCCUAUCAGCUUGUUGGUGGGGUGAUGGCCUGCCAAGGCUUUGACGGGUAGCCGGCCUGAGAGGGUGGGCGGUCACACGGGGACUGAGAUACGGCCCAGACUCCUGCGGGAGGCAGCAGUGGGGGGUAGUGCACAAUGGGCGGAAGCCUGAUGCAGCGACGUCGCGUGAGGGAUGGAGGCCUUCGGGUUGUGAACCUCUUUCGCCGGUGAAGAAGGUCCUGCUCUUUGUGGUGGGGUUGACGGUAGCCGGGUUAUGAAGCGCCGGCUAACUACGUG